UUUCAUUCUGUUCUGUCUUAGCUAGCUACCUACAACUAUACCAAAUGGACUGGUUUAUCAUCUGCUUAUGUAGUAGAAUUAACACACUGCAUCAAUACAGGUACCUGCUGGUCACUAGUCAAAUAUAUAUAUUUUAUACUGUAGUAGCCAUAGAAUUAGGAAUUUGAGUACUAGAAUGGACAUGGCCUGUCUUAUGAUGGGAUAAAGGUCAUAUUUUGGUCAGGGAGUUCGUCAACCCUGGUUUACCAGUGCUGUAAUAAGAUAGUGUAAAAUAAUGGAUUUUAAGAAUUUAUCUGUACUCUUUGUUAGCUAGCCAGCCAGUUUCAGAGGAAUAAUUCCAUAUCUUAAUGAACUGAACUGCCAAGAUGCCAACAUUCAAUUUCAAACAAUACAGUGAGUCAAUAGGCAUUUUUCACGCCCCAAAAGACCACUUCCUUCCACGCCGAGCAGUGUGUGACGAUAUCCGGUUGUCUGUAGUCUUCUGCGAAAUUCAAACAUUGGAGUUUACCCAGUCACUACUCAAUUUGCCCAAGUUUGGCAUUAGUGAUGUGGCUAUCGUUCACGAACAUUCCCAGACGAAGAGAUCUGAACUUCAUAAAGGAUACAAGUUCUUCCACAAAGAAUAUCUUCAACGRUCAAGGUAAGUUAGUACUUGAAGUGACCAGUUGAGAUAGAUAGCUAGCUAACGAUAGCUAAGACGUUACCAAAUUGGUUAGUGCUAACAUGAGUUAGCUAACGUUACUUAAGAUUUGUCAGACUUAGUUAACGUUAAUAAGUUAGCUAGCUAUUUGGCCAGCCACUGUAAUCUAUUUCUUUCUCGCUAGCUAGAGCCGUCUCAGUAAUGUUAAGAGUAGCAAUGGUAACUUACUUGCAUACAUCAAUGUAAUGUUUGUCACCUAACGUUCUUUCCUGCUCUGUUCUUCUGAACAUGCAUUGUGACACAUGGUAGACCAGGAGGGGGCAGUGGUAGUCUGGGCAAGGUGUCACAUGUGAAUGAGGAGCUCUAGUCGCUGCAGGUUAGAGAGAUGAUAGGCAGUUUAAUUGCUUAGUGUUGCAGUGGUUACAGUUUACCUGUGUUUUGUUCAAAAUAAUCAAACUCUAUCUGUUCACUGUAGGCAUAGUUACUGAUCUGAAGCUGGAUAACAACAUGUUGUAUAGUCCACUUUUAUUACAGUUCGUCAGUUAUGUUUUUAAUGUCAGAAGUGAAGAGAAGCAAACAUGACCUUGCUGCUGCAGAUGAUCAAAAACAUUGUAUGAUGACCCCCCCUACAUGUUAUUUUAGGUUACAUUGCAAGCACCCAAGAAGCCUGUCAUCGUCAACGGCUUAUCUUGUUCAGCUGAGGGCGUUUUGUGCAAUAUGGUGGCUCUACUGUUCCAGGCUGCACAUUACACCACAAUGGGGUUGUAGACUGUGUCAGCACCAUUGCCUUGCACGUACUGCAGUUGUGGUAUUGGCCAAGGACUCUGAGUUUUGAAUGGCAUUUGUCCAGAGCCCAUGGGAUGAAAUGGUUCUGAGGAAGCCAAGGACAUCAGGCAAGAGUGGCAUAAAACCCACUCUUUACCAAGCAUUCCCUGGCCCCUUCCUGACAUUACUGUGUCUGCUGGACCAAGUUCGAGGAGCAUGUGACCACAUCCUGCCAUUGCCACGGUGCUGCGUGGACUCGAAGAAAUUACUCUGGGUGACUCUAGAUUUGGUCCAAUGCUCCAUGGGUCAGUGCUGUCACGUCAUUGUCCCCCCCCAACUGUCACCAGAGAUUCUAAAACACCCAGAUGCUCCUGUAAUCCUCCAGCUCUCAGUAAAUUGUAAAGUAAAUUGUACAGUAAUUUAAACGUUGUCCCUACUUGCACUCAGUUUUACCACUUGGAGAGCUUAAAGGUGUCACCAGCAUUGUCAUCUGCUAUUGAGAAGGGCACAGUCGAGCAGUCUGUCUGUCCACUAUGGAAGGAAAUGAGGAAACCAUGUGUGAUUGCUAGCCAGUUUAGGGAGGCAUGCCAGGUGCGUGGGGAGUCAUCUAGCCAGGCCCUAGCCAUGAGAAUGCUUAAAGGUGAACGGCAAACCGAAGCUAUGCGAAGGGGUCUUGAGCUUAAGCCAGAGGUUCUCCAGAACUACUCUGAAUGAUUUGAUGUCUCAGUCAAACGUUGUGGUUUCGUUGUGCACCCAGAUGCACCCCAUCUCAAGGGGCAAACCAUGAUGAGAACGUUUAUGGCCCUUCUGCAGCGCCGCCCUUCAGGCUAGCAGAGAUCAAGUGCCUGAUGUUGAGUGUAAUUGAUGUGAAGCUCAUUUCAGUUUGUCAAUGGCCAGGCCAAGCUCAAACACAGCCACAAAUAUCACUAGCAAGUCCAGGGUCAACUGCCUGUAACCAGUUUAGUUUGGUACGACUUCACUAGAAGUGCCAUUACAGUAGAGAGAGUUUGGAGAGAUGAUUCUUUAGUGGCAGAGAUGAGAGGAACCUGACCUCUUCUACACCUACAGGGAUGUUUAGAUAACUCAUCAACGUUGUAUGUAGAUGAAUUUUUAUUUUGRAUUAAAGAAUUGUUUUGUUCUUUGUCUUUCCUGUGUGGCUCGGGUGGGAGAGCAUGGGGCUCGUAACGCCAGGGUUAUGGGUUCGAUUCCCACGGGGGAACCAGUACACAAGUAUCAAAAUGUAUGCACUCACUACUGUAUGUCGCUCUGGA
Molecule: long non-coding RNA, 2676 nt
Organism: Salvelinus sp. IW2-2015
Lineage: Eukaryota; Metazoa; Chordata; Actinopteri; Salmoniformes; Salmonidae
Source: RefSeq, a predicted model, not a curated record